Molecule: ribosomal RNA, 253 nt
Filed under: uncultured bacterium
Lineage: Bacteria
Description: partial 16S ribosomal RNA
Rfam family: Bacterial small subunit ribosomal RNA
Source: RNAcentral
UACGGGGGGGGCAAGCGUUGUUCGGAAUUACUGGGCGUAAAGGGCUCGUAGGCGGCCAACUAAGUCAGACGUGAAAUCCCUCGGCUUAACCGGGGAACUGCAUCUGAUACUGGAUGGCUUGAGAUUGGGAGAGGGAUGCGGAAUUCCAGGUGUAGCGGUGAAAUGCGUAGAUAUCUGGAGGAACACCGAUGGCGAAGGCAGAUCUCUGGGCCGUAACUGACGCUGAGGAGCGAAAGCAUGGGUAGCGAACAGG